RNAcentral lists this ribosomal RNA (253 nucleotides) under uncultured bacterium. RNAcentral's name for it is "partial 16S ribosomal RNA". It matches the Rfam family "Bacterial small subunit ribosomal RNA", at positions 524 to 776 of the family's 1533-position model. The record is from RNAcentral.
UACGUAGGGGGCUAGCGUUGUCCGGAAUCAUUGGGCGUAAAGCGCGUGUAGGCGGUCCGGUAAGUCCGCUGUGAAAGUCGAGGGCUCAACCCUCGAAUGCCGGUGGAUACUGUCGGGCUUGAGUACGGGAGAGGCGAGUGGAAUUCCCGGUGUAGCGGUGAAAUGCGCAGAUAUCGGGAAGAACACCCGUGGCGAAGGCGGCUCUCUGGGACGGUACUGACGCUGAGACGCGAAAGCGUGGGGAGCGAACAGG